Molecule: ribosomal RNA, 2299 nt
Filed under: Listeria monocytogenes
Lineage: Bacteria; Bacillati; Bacillota; Bacilli; Caryophanales; Listeriaceae
Description: partial 23S ribosomal RNA
Rfam family: Bacterial large subunit ribosomal RNA
Source: RNAcentral
AUUUGUUGCAAGGUUAAGCGGAAAAAGCGGAGCCGUAGCGAAAGCGAGUCUGAAUAGGGCGCAUAAGUAACAGGUCGUAGACCCGAAACCAGGUGAUCUACCCAUGUCCAGGAUGAAGGUAAGGUAAUACUUACUGGAGGUCCGAACCCACGCACGUUGAAAAGUGCGGGGAUGAGGUGUGGGUAGCGGAGAAAUUCCAAUCGAACUUGGAGAUAGCUGGUUCUCUCCGAAAUAGCUUUAGGGCUAGCCUCGAGGUAAAGAGUCAUGGAGGUAGAGCACUGUUUGGACUAGGGGCCCUUCUCGGGUUACCGAAUUCAGAUAAACUCCGAAUGCCAUGUACUUAUACUCGGGAGUCAGACUGCGAGUGAUAAGAUCCGUAGUCGAAAGGGAAACAGCCCAGACCACCAGUUAAGGUCCCCAAAUAUAUGUUAAGUGGAAAAGGAUGUGGGGUUGCUUAGACAACCAGGAUGUUGGCUUAGAAGCAGCCACCAUUGAAAGAGUGCGUAAUAGCUCACUGGUCGAGUGACCCCGCGCCGAAAAUGUACCGGGGCUAAACAUAUUACCGAAACUGUGGAUGAACCUCUUUAGAGGUUCGUGGUAGGAGAGCGUUCUAAGGGCGGUGAAGUCAGACCGGAAGGACUGGUGGAGCGCUUAGAAGUGAGAAUGCCGGUAUGAGUAGCGAAAGAAGGGUGAGAAUCCCUUCCACCGAAUAUCUAAGGUUUCCUGAGGAAGGCUCGUCCGCUCAGGGUUAGUCGGGACCUAAGCCGAGGCCGAUAGGCGUAGGCGAUGGACAACAGGUAGAGAUUCCUGUACCAGUGCUAAUUGUUUAACCGAUGGGGUGACACAGAAGGAUAGGGAAUCGCACGAAUGGAAAUGUGCGUCCAAGCAGUGAGUGUGAGAAGUAGGCAAAUCCGCUUCUCGCGAAGCAUGAGCUGUGAUGGGGAAGGAAAUUAAGUACGGAAGUUCCUGAUUUCACGCUGUCAAGAAAAGCCUCUAGGAAGAGUAGUACUGCCCGUACCGCAAACCGACACAGGUAGAUGAGGAGAGAAUCCUAAGGUGAGCGAGAGAACUCUCGUUAAGGAACUCGGCAAAAUGACCCCGUAACUUCGGGAGAAGGGGUGCUCUAUUAGGGUGCAAGCCCGAGAGAGCCGCAGUGAAUAGGCCCAGGCGACUGUUUAGCAAAAACACAGGUCUCUGCAAAACCGUAAGGUGACGUAUAGGGGCUGACGCCUGCCCGGUGCUGGAAGGUUAAGAGGAGUGCUUAGCUUCGGCGAAGGUACGAAUUGAAGCCCCAGUAAACGGCGGCCGUAACUAUAACGGUCCUAAGGUAGCGAAAUUCCUUGUCGGGUAAGUUCCGACCCGCACGAAAGGCGCAACGAUCUGGGCACUGUCUCAACGAGAGACUCGGUGAAAUUAUAGUACCUGUGAAGAUGCAGGUUACCCGCGACAGGACGGAAAGACCCCGUGGAGCUUUACUGCAACCUGAUAUGGAAUGUUUGUACCGCUUGUACAGGAUAGGUAGGAGCCGAAGAGACGUGUGCGCUAGCAUACGAGGAGGCAAUGGUGGGAUACUACCCUGGCUGUAUGACCAUUCUAACCCGCCACGCUUAGCGCGUGGGGAGACAGUGUCAGGUGGGCAGUUUGACUGGGGCGGUCGCCUCCUAAAGAGUAACGGAGGCGCCCAAAGGUUCCCUCAGAAUGGAUGGAAAUCAUUCGCAGAGUGUAAAGGCACAAGGGAGCUUGACUGCGAGACUGACAAGUCGAGCAGGGACGAAAGUCGGGCUUAGUGAUCCGGUGGUUCCGCAUGGAAGGGCCAUCGCUCAACGGAUAAAAGCUACCCCGGGGAUAACAGGCUUAUCUCCCCCAAGAGUCCACAUCGACGGGGAGGUUUGGCACCUCGAUGUCGGCUCGUCGCAUCCUGGGGCUGUAGUCGGUCCCAAGGGUUGGGCUGUUCGCCCAUUAAAGCGGCACGCGAGCUGGGUUCAGAACGUCGUGAGACAGUUCGGUCCCUAUCCGUCGCGGGCGCAGGAAAUUUGAGAGGAGCUGUCCUUAGUACGAGAGGACCGGGAUGGACACACCGCUGGUGUACCAGUUGUUCCGCCAGGAGCAUCGCUGGGUAGCUAUGUGUGGCAGGGAUAAACGCUGAAAGCAUCUAAGCGUGAAGCCCCCCUCAAGAUGAGAUUUCCCAUUUCUUCGGAAAGUAAGAUCCCUGAAAGAUGAUCAGGUAGAUAGGUUUGGAGUGGAAGUGUAGCGAUACAUGGAGCGGACAAAUACUAAUCGAUCGAGGACUUAACCAAAA